Molecule: ribosomal RNA, 468 nt
Filed under: uncultured bacterium
Lineage: Bacteria
Description: partial 16S ribosomal RNA
Rfam family: Bacterial small subunit ribosomal RNA
Source: RNAcentral
GACGAACGCUGGCGGCGUGCUUAACACAUGCAAGUCGAACGGAAAGGCCCUGCUCUUGCGGGGUGCUCGAGUGGCGAACGGGUGAGUAACACGUGAGUAACCUGCCCUUGACUUUGGGAUAACUUCAGGAAACUGGGGCUAAUAUCGGAUAGGAGCUCCUGCUGCAUGGUGGGGGUUGGAAAGUUUCGGCGGUUGGGGAUGGACUCGCGGGUUAUCAGCUUGUUGGUGGGGUAGUGGCUUACCAAGCCUUUGACGGGUAGCCGGCCUGGGAGGGUGACCGGCCACAUUGGGACUGAGAGACGGCCCAGACGCCUACGGGAGGCAGCAGUGGGGAAUAUGGCACAAUAGGCGGAAGCCUGAUGCAGCAGCGCCGCGUGCGGGAUGACGGCCUUCGGGUUGUAAACCGCUUUGGCCUGUGACGAAGCGUGAGUGACGGUAAUGGGUAAAGAAGCACCGGCUAACUACGUG